This 450-nucleotide ribosomal RNA is filed under the name uncultured Glomeromycotina. RNAcentral describes it as "SSU rRNA". It matches the Rfam family "Eukaryotic small subunit ribosomal RNA", at positions 569 to 1024 of the family's 1831-position model. The record is from RNAcentral. Lineage: Eukaryota; Fungi; Glomeromycota.
AGCAGCCACGGUAAUUCCAGCUCCAAUAGCGUAUAUUAAAGUUGUUGCAGUUAAAAAGCUCGUAGUUGAAUUUCGGGAUCAGUACGCUGGUCAUGCCUUUGGUAUGCACUGGUGUCACUGGUUUCUCCCUUCUGAAGAUCUGUGAUGUCAUUAAUUUGGUGUCGCGGGGAAUCAGGACUGUUACUUUGAAAAAUUAGAGUGUUUAAAGCAGGCUCACGCUUGAAUACAUUAGCAUGGAAUAAUGAAAUAGGACGUUUGACCCUAUUUUGUUGGUUUCUAGGAUCGACGUAAUGAUUAAUAGGGAUAGUUGGGGGCAUUAGUAUUCAAUUGUCAGAGGUGAAAUUCUUGGAUUUAUUGAAGACUAACUACUGCGAAAGCAUUUGCCAAGGAUGUUUUCAUUAAUCAAGAACGAAAGUUAGGGGAUCGAAGACGAUCAGAUACCGUCGUAGU